RNAcentral lists this ribosomal RNA (497 nucleotides) under uncultured bacterium. RNAcentral's name for it is "partial 16S ribosomal RNA". It matches the Rfam family "Bacterial small subunit ribosomal RNA", at positions 28 to 507 of the family's 1533-position model. The record is from RNAcentral.
GAUGAACGCUGGCGGCGUGCCUAAUACAUGCAAGUCGAGCGAACGGACGAGAAGCUUGCUUCUCUGAUGUUAGCGGCGGACGGGUGAGUAACACGUGGAUAACCUACCUAUAAGACUGGGAUAACUUCGUGAAACCGGAGCUAAUACCGGAUAAUAUUUUGAACCGCAUGGUUCAAAAGUGAAAGACGGUCUUGCUGUCACUUAUAGAUGUAUCCGCGCUGCAUUAGCUAGUUGGUAAGGUAACGGCUUACCAAGGCAACGAUGCAUAGCCGACCUGAGAGGGUGAUCGGCCACACUGGAACUGAGACACGGUCCAGACUCCUACGGGAGGCAGCAGUAGGGAAUCUUCCGCAAUGGGCGAAAGCCUGACGGAGCAACGCCGCGUGAGUGAUGAAGGUCUUCGGAUCGUAAAACUCUGUUAUUAGGGAAGAAAAUAUGUGUAAGUAACUGUGCACAUCUUGACGGUACCUAAUCAGAAAGCCACGGCUAACUACGUG